Molecule: ribosomal RNA, 443 nt
Filed under: uncultured bacterium
Lineage: Bacteria
Description: bacterial SSU rRNA
Rfam family: Bacterial small subunit ribosomal RNA
Source: RNAcentral
CCUACGGGUGGCUGCAGUCGAGAAUAUUUCGCAAUGGGCGAAAGCCUGACGGAGCGACGCCGCGUGAUUGAUGAAGUCCUUCGGGACGUAAAGAUCUUUUAUGAGGGAAGAAGUAAUUGACGGUACCUCAUGAAUAAGGGCCUCCCAAUCUCGUGCCAGCAGGAGCGGUAAUACGAGAGGCCCAAGCGUUAUCCGGAAUUAUUGGGCGUAAAGGGUGUGUAGGUGGUCAUAUUAGUCUUUUGUUAAACCCACAGGCUCAACCUGUGAUCUGCAAAGGAAACGGUAUGACUAGAGGAUGCGAGAGGUAAAGGGAACUCAUGGUGUAGGGGUGAAAUCCGUUGAUAUCAUGGGGAACACCGAAGGCGAAGGCACUUUACUGGCGCACUCCUGACGCUGAGACACGAAAGCGUGGGUAGCGAAUGGGAUUAGAUACCCCAGUAGUC